RNAcentral lists this non-coding RNA (72 nucleotides) under Clostridium neonatale. Its description in RNAcentral is "GP20-b". It matches the Rfam family "GP20-b RNA". Lineage: Bacteria; Bacillati; Bacillota; Clostridia; Eubacteriales; Clostridiaceae. The record is from RNAcentral.
UGCCCUGGAGUAUGGCGUAAAAAGACUCAAAACAUUACAAAAAUGAGUGAAGCAACCACGUAUAAAAGCGUA